Mya arenaria is the source of this 1565-nucleotide RNA transcript. It is a transcript of the gene named monocarboxylate transporter 1-like, with no coding region annotated. NCBI's taxonomy places the organism in Eukaryota, Metazoa, Mollusca, Bivalvia, Myida, Myidae. The record is from RefSeq and is a predicted model, not a curated record. The transcript has 5 exons.
GCCAUUUAACCUACGCAAAUGAACAAAUCUGCAUGCAUCCAGUAAAACUUUAAUGAUCAAAAUUUCAUCGUGAAGAGAUACUUCGUCAGACCUGAAUCAUUACUUCGUUGAGGAUGGACUCAAGUAGUUUGAAUGGAUGGAAGACCAGAUGACUACUUCUAUUCAUUAUCUAUGUGCAAUAUUCUACGCAGAUCGGUUUCUGCUUUUCCAUGGGAGUUCUGUUUCCUUACCUGUCAGAUAAGUUCCAGCGGAAUAGGAAAGAUACCGUCCUUGUACAGUCAAUUACCACAACUGUGCUCCUUUCAUCAGGUAUUAUAUUUGGACAGCUGAUAAAGAGAUUUGGGCUCUUUAAAUUAUCAUUUGUUCCACUUCUCUUUUGUCCUGUGGGAUUCAUUCUAGCAUAUUUUGCUACCGAAUUGUGGCAGCUUUACAUUUGUAUCGGCAUUAUAGGAGAUCGGCAAUUGUGCAAGAGACAAACGAUAUUCUAUUCUCUCUAUAUCUAGGCAUCGGAUUUUCAUGUACGAAUGUUUUCGCCUAUACCGCGGUGGGUUUGGCUUUCGUUGGAAGACAAAGGAGUCUCAGCAUUGCAAUUCUGGCUACUGGGACUGGUGUUGCUGGAAUCUGUUAUCCCUUUUUUAUGAAAUGGGUCACCGAAACAUACGGAGUACAGCACUGUUUCUUGUCUGUUGGUCUCUUCUUUCUUUCUUCGAGUGUGUUACCGUUUAUACUUCGCAGGGAAAGUUGCAACGCAAACCCACAGGGCGAUCAAGAACCCAACCCCGAUGAGAAAAAGAAAAACCUUUUGCGGAGAGUACUUACUACAUUUGUAAUGGAAAUGAAACAAGUGCUUAUCGUGGAAUUUAUGUUAAAUGUGUUUGCCACAUGCAUUAUCAUUGGAGUUAUAAAUGGAACUGUUUUUUCUCUUCAAAUGGACAUCGCUAGAUGGAAAUCUUUGUCUGACUUGGAUGGAAUCUUUGUUUUUAAUUUUCUGAACCUUGCUAUUAUAAUUGCCGGUUUCUUGCCAGGAGUUUUGAAGCAGGUUCGUUGCUGCAGUAUAAGUUACUCAUUUAUUCUUGCUGGAGCCACAGUUUCGGGAAUUGGAGGGUAUAUUGUAAUAACUGUAUACACAACCCGCACAGGGUAUCUAGCUGGAAACGCACUAAUCGAAUUGCAACUUGGAGCUGUAAUAUCCACGAUAAUGAUCUCUCUCAAACAUAUGGAAAAGAAGCACUUGUCCUUUGCUUCAAGCAUUGUGAUAACUUGCAAUGGACUUGCGUCAAUAGGAACUGCACCUCUGUUUGCUCAUAUUCGGGAUGUAACGAUGGAUUAUUAUCCUGUUUUGUACGCGUCAAUUUCCCUCAAUAUAGUUGGUUUGGCCUUGUAUGUAUUGGCAUUUGUGUGCAGAAGAAGAAAAUCUUCUGAAGACAUGAACACUAUCCAUGUAUAUACUGUCGAAACGCAACCUAUAACGUCAGCUGUUGCCUUGGAUACUGGACUUGCUACCACUAACAUCGAUGUUUUGUAACGAUUUGAUUUUCAAAUGACCUUGCUUGUACCAAUAAACG